CCUACGGGAGGCAGCAGUGGGGAAUAUUGCACAAUGGGGGAAACCCUGAUGCAGCGACGCCGCGUGAAGGAUGAAGUAUUUCGGUAUGUAAACUUCUAUCAGCAGGGAAGAAAAUGACGGUACCUGACUAAGAAGCCCCGGCUAACUACGUGCCAGCAGCCGCGGUAAUACGUAGGGGGCAAGCGUUAUCCGGAUUUACUGGGUGUAAAGGGAGCGUAGACGGGAUGGCAAGUCUGAUGUGAAAACCCGGGGCUCAACCCCGGGACUGCAUUGGAAACUGUCAGGCUAGAGUGUCGGAGAGGCAAGUGGAAUGCCUAGUGUAGCGGUGAAAUGCGUAGAUAUUAGGAGGAACACCAGUGGCGAAGGCGGCCUGCUGGACGAUGACUGACGUUGAGGCUCGAAAGCGUGGGGAGCAAACAGGAUUAGAUACCCUAGUAGUC
RNAcentral lists this ribosomal RNA (440 nucleotides) under uncultured bacterium. RNAcentral describes it as "partial 16S ribosomal RNA". It matches the Rfam family "Bacterial small subunit ribosomal RNA", at positions 338 to 795 of the family's 1533-position model. The record is from RNAcentral.